Molecule: long non-coding RNA, 1255 nt
Organism: Drosophila santomea
Lineage: Eukaryota; Metazoa; Arthropoda; Insecta; Diptera; Drosophilidae
Exons: 2
Source: RefSeq, a predicted model, not a curated record
AUUGGGUACAAAUAUUGAUGAAGGCCUGAGGAGUUGAGAAUUUUAAGAAGUCCUGGAAAUAUUUCGAACUUAAGUAUAAAGUAUACAUAAGCAGACAAGUACAUACAUAUUUUCAGAUCCACAUCUGAAGCAGAUCCACAUCAAAGCAAAUUACUCCACAAGCAAAUCCCACUAAUUAUGUGAGUUUGGCAACGACAGCAUAAUUAGUCACAAUCACUAAUUUUUAAACAGGAAACCUCACCGAAUUCACUUUCCAACGAAAUUCGUCUCCCGAAAAAGGAACUCGGGGAAAAUGCUUUUAGAAAAACCAAAGACAGCAACGCGACCACAAAAACAACUAUUACUCUGCUCGAACGCUUCAUCCCGCUCGAAUAGUAAUGAAAAAUUCCGAGAAAUUUCAAUUAUUCAACAUUUUUAACGCCGGGCAAAUGAGCAGAGCACUCUGCCUUCCCCGACUGCCCCAAAACCACAGAAGAAGAAGCCAAACUAAUUAAACACGCGUCCACCUACAAAACCAAGCCUGCUCCCCAGAAAUCAUACAAAGUUAUAUAGUCAUCAACUGCACAUCAAUCAUAGGCCGGCAAACUUGGGGCCCGCAGUCUGGGGCUCCUUUGUCUUUUCUUUGCGGGGAGAGGGGGGUAUGUAAAGUCGGAAAAUCGGAGGGAACAGGCACAGGAAAAGCGUGAAAAAUUGUCGAGCAUGACGCAGUCUCGGAACGCAUCCACACAUCCAUGGGCUGCACUUAGGCACAUUGCUAAAUUUGGACCAGCACCGAAGAAAUCCGCAUUUGCCAUGUGUAGGCAUUUUACUGAUAAUUAGCGAGCGGCCCAGCCGCGUGUUUGCCGCCCUAAUUGAUAAACGAAGGAGCCAACUUUACGAGAUGGGGAUGUUGCAACUUGCAACCGCAGUCGUUGACUACUGCCACGAAUUCCCCAUUCCCCCACCGCACUCGCUCUACCAUAAAAAUUAUCUUAAUGGACAAUUUAAGAAUCACUCAUUGUGAAUUAUGCGCUGCAUUUACCCGCCGAGUAGUCAAAGUCUGGCCACUUGAGUUGCGCUAUCGAAAUCUAGCCAAUGUCUGCUGUGUUGAAAGUUUUUCCUUUGCCUGAGGAAAGGGUAUGUUGCGGAGUUUUGGCUUAGUAUAAGUCAUAAAAGAAAAAUUGAAUAUAAAAAUCUAUAGGUACACCCUCAAAAGUGCUACAAAAAUAGGAUAAAUACCUGUGAGAUUUAGUAAAGAAUGUCUUUAACUAUAAAA